Small nuclear RNA from Octopus sinensis (East Asian common octopus), 106 nucleotides. The record is from RefSeq and is a predicted model, not a curated record. NCBI's taxonomy places the organism in Eukaryota, Metazoa, Mollusca, Cephalopoda, Octopoda, Octopodidae.
AUACAUUUUUUGAGGCUGUACCUAUUCUAAAAUUGUAACGAUACAGAGAUUAGCAUGACUCCUGCGCGAGGAUGACAAGAAAGUUCGUGAAGCGUUACAUUUUUAA